This 93-nucleotide transfer RNA is filed under the name Brevibacillus fluminis. RNAcentral's name for it is "tRNA-Ser". It matches the Rfam family "tRNA". From Rfam's summary of the family: Transfer RNA (tRNA) molecules are approximately 80 nucleotides in length. The record is from RNAcentral. Lineage: Bacteria; Bacillati; Bacillota; Bacilli; Caryophanales; Paenibacillaceae. RNAcentral also lists the same sequence under 1 other name.
GGAUGGGUGUCCGAGUGGCCGAAGGAGCACGAUUGGAAAUCGUGUAGACGGGGGUAACUCGUCUCGUGGGUUCAAAUCCCACCCCAUCCGCCA